UCGGGAAUUUUGGGCAAUGGGCGAAAGCCUGACCCAGCAACGCCGCGUGAGGGAUGAAGUAUUUCGGUAUGUAAACCUCGAACGAAUGGGAAGAAUAAAUGACGGUACCAUUUAUAAGCUCCGGCUAACUACGUGCCAGCAGCCGCGGUAAUACGUAGGGAGCAAGCGUUGUUCGGAUUUACUGGGCGUAAAGGGCGCGUAGGCGGCGCGGUAAGUCACUUGUGAAAUCUCUGAGCUUAACUCAGAACGGCCAAGUGAUACUGCUGUGCUAGAGUGCGGAAGAGGCAACCGGAAUUUUUGGUUUAGCGGUGAAAUGCGUAGAUAUCAAGAGGAACACCUGAGGCGAAGGCGGGUUGCUGGGCCGACACUGACGCUGAUGCGCGAAAGCCAGGGGAGCAAACG
RNAcentral lists this ribosomal RNA (402 nucleotides) under uncultured bacterium. Its description in RNAcentral is "bacterial SSU rRNA". It matches the Rfam family "Bacterial small subunit ribosomal RNA", at positions 355 to 774 of the family's 1533-position model. The record is from RNAcentral.